UUGAUAGUCCUGGGGAGUAAAUUUUCUAUCCACAGAAUAGUUACAGCACAGGCAGCAGCAAUGCAAACUUCCCCUCCACUGCCCUCUCAGCAGGAGGGAACCACCUCUGCACGUAGGAGAAUAGUUCAAUCUCCAUAACCCAUUCUGUCCACUUUCUUU
RNAcentral lists this small RNA (159 nucleotides) under Chrysemys picta bellii (western painted turtle). RNAcentral describes it as "TUC338 (ENSCPBG00000007251.1)". The record is from RNAcentral. Lineage: Eukaryota; Metazoa; Chordata; Testudines; Emydidae.